RNAcentral lists this long non-coding RNA (4617 nucleotides) under Cinara cedri. The record is from RNAcentral. Lineage: Eukaryota; Metazoa; Arthropoda; Insecta; Hemiptera; Aphididae.
AAUUAUGUAUGAUGAGGUAGGUGUACUCUUUAAUAUAAAUAUUAAUAUAUUGCGAUUCGGUCAUUUGAAAACAAUUUAGUCGUGGUGUCACGCGCAUUGUUAAAAGUCCACCGUGAAUACAAGAGUCGCAACAAAACAAAUUUGAAUGAUACAAUUUUUUGCGUCGCGUUAUGUAAGUACAGAUACGACGUUAUUAUUUUUGUUAUAUAUUUUUAUUUUUUUUUUGAGUUGGACGGUCCAUUAAGAGUAUACCUGUCGCUCGUCGCGGCGCCACAGUUCGAGUGUUUUACAACGUUUAAUAAUAAUAAAAACUAUACUUUACGAAAACAUUCCAUUUCGGUAUACGUGUGUAUUAUAAUAUAUACAGUUAUCGAUUAUCGGGUAAAAUGGCGCUUCAACAGCAUAAUAACAUACAAUACACCGGACUCAACCAUUAUAAUAAUGCCAGAUGCCAGUUCCCACUCUAUUAUUACUAUUGCGUUACUAUGGUUACUGUUAAGUACAGGUACAGAAAUGUUUGUCAUUGAAUAACGAUCGCGUGCUAUAUCGCCGCGGCUUUGGUCUGACGAUAGUAUAGUCAAAUAGUCGAGUAAAAUAAUAAUAUGCGUGCGUACAACUGACAUAGCCGCGUUAGAGGCGAGGGGAAAUGUGGGCGUUUGCUCCGGGGACGCCGAACUUUUUCCUGACUACGGGAAGCCCGGCUCAAUAUAUGAAACUUAAAAUAAUAAUAAAAAAAAAACUCGCAAUUUCAUUUUUUAAUAUUAUUAUAAUUAUAAGUGGGUGGGUAUACCUGUACCGGUAGGGAAAAAUUCAGCGGUAAGGAAGAAUCAUAUUUGGCGGAAGUAAUACGUAGGAAAUAAAAAUACGUGUUCAAUAAAAUUGUAAAAAAAAAACACAACAAAUCUGUGAGGGGAGAGGUACGAACGUUCCAAAUCAUCCGCGGGUGAGACAUUGAGAGGGGGCGAUGGAAAAUCGAUGCCACCGGGCGCCGCGCCGAACGGCUCUGCGUAACGCUUUUACACAUUUUCAGGACCACUUGUUGAAAACAUUGUCGGGAGCCGAUUCAACGGCCGGUAGAGUGCUUUACCCGGUAUCGGGAGCCAAUUCAACGGUCGCCGUACACGCAUAUUGUAAAUAAAUACGUGUAUUACAUUAGGGGGCCGAUACUGGGUACGCAUUUAACGACGACGGUGAUAAUAAUAGUAAUAACAAGCAAUACAGGUACCGUCGGUUUUUGAAAUUGAAUUAUUUUCGUUGCGCCCGUGCGGCGAGCAAUUUUUCCCACGUUACCGGCACGACGUGACGGUGUCGCACAACGCAACGGCGUUUGUUUUCGACAAAUAGUCCGACAUGGGUCCGCACUGGGGUUGCGGCGAGCCGAAACGAUUCGCACGUUGGACCGUCUUCGGCAUUUAUAUUAUCGUUCCGUGUUAAUGACAUUGUUCCCUUCUCGAUUUAUACGCCCCCCCCCUCCUCUCUUGUGUUUUUAAACGAAACCAAACAGCGUAUUCGUAGUAUGGAAGGCAGCAAAAAAAAAAAAACUAUAAAACGGCGGAUUUUCGUUGUUUCGCACGCGUUUCCCUUGUGAAGGCGCCGGGCGCUAAUCCUGCCCGAAAAACGCGCGCAAACAAAACGCUGCGCAAUAAUAACGAUUGCGCGUAUCGUUAACAGACAUUACCAACAAUACGGAACCACAAAUGUGUUCAAUAGAAAACUUUUACAAUGAAAAGAAAAAAAAAAAAAAUGACAAUUUCCUAUGCAGAUUGUAUUAUAGGUAUUGUUAUUAUCACGGCGAGCAUACGGCCGUCUGUAACUAUUGCAGUAACAAUGAUAAUAUUUAUAGACGUCGCAUAAUGCCAGAAGAAGAAUACUCCACAUAGUAUUAUUGUUAUGUAUAACUAAUAAUUAUUAUUAUACAACCUGUAUGAAUUAUAAAAACAAAAUAUAACCUUCAAACGAUUCUUUCUACUGUUAAAGUGCAUACAUACUAAAAUAAUAUUCUUCAAUUCUUGAUGUUGCAAAAACGUGUGUGUAGGUUUACCUGUUUAUGCGGCGUACAUGACCACUUUUUUUUUUUUUAUAAUGUAAGUAAUAACCUACCUACCUAUAUAAUGUCUAUAUACAUAUUAUAAUGAGCGAAUGUAAGUUCCUUGUUCCUACAUCACCAAAACAAGUUAGGUUAGAUUAUAUAUUAAACGGAUACUUGUAAAUACACGUUUAACCAAAGUAUUAAAAAAAAAAAAAAUGCAUUAUGGAACAAAAGUUUAAGGUAAAUUACCCAAUGUGCAUGCAGUAUUUUGUAAACAGAUAUAAUUAUUAUCAAACCAAAAACAAGUUUUCUGUAUCAGUUUUAUCAGUAAUGGAAAUUCUCAAAUGUUUGUGUAACACAAACAGAUUUGCAUCGAUCCAAUUUUGAAGUGAACCGCUACUUUUCAUAAGUAAUCGUUUAAUUAACGGCUCAUAUUUAGUUGUAUGAGUUAUCUCUUCUUUCACCAAAAAAUAAACAGAUCGAAAAAGAUGUGAUAAAUUUGUUCUAUUAAUUUUACAUUCUUCAAAACUUUGACUUACAAUUUGAUUAUAAACAGGGUUUUUUAAAGCUACCAAAGCAAGUUUUUCUAAUUCUGCACUACGGAUAUGUGAUACAGAAUAUGUGUGUUUAUUUAAUUUACCAUCUUUUCCUAGUGCUUUUUUAUAGUUUAUGAAUGGUGUAUUAACACAAAUUCCGCCUGAUACAUAUUUUUCACAUAACAUACAAAAAGCACCGUUACGUUGUUUAUGAAAAUAAAGCCAAGGAUAAUCUAUUUCCCAUUUAGUAUUAUAGAAUCGUUUUUCUUUACCUUUUAUUGAUGAACUAGCCGAUGUAACGGCUUGAUUUACGUCUGUAGAUUCUAUAGUUUUUGGUUUUUUUAUUCGGUAAAAAGAAAUCUUCUAUUGAUCGUUUUGACAUCUUAAAAUAAAAAAUUAAUAGAUUACGAAAUGACUAAUAUAGAAAGAAAUAUAGCAUAGGUAGCUAGUAUUCAAUAAUUUUUUUACUUAAGCUAUGUUGUUAAUAAUAGUGCACUCGUGAUUUUUCAGCUGCACAGCGUUGACUAAUCGAUAGUGAACAACUGUCUAGAAUGUAGAUAAAUAAUCAAAGAGAAUAAUAAAUAAUAAUAGACGUAGACGGUCACCUAAUAAUCAUUAUCAAUAUAUGGUAUUUCCAAUCAUAUCAUAUGAUGAUAUACUUGACCGUCCAUGUAAACGUUUAUUAAACCGGUCAAAUUGUUUUAUGAUUAAAUAUUUCAAUCGAUAAAAUUUUAUUUAAAACCACAUUUAACAGGGGGGGGGGGCAACAUUUUUAGUAUACCUGGAUUCAACACAAAUUGUGUUCAAAAAUUGAAAUUAGAAUAUGUCAGCUUUAUCGGUAUUAUAUCAGCUAUAGUCAGAAUAAACCAUCAAGUAUAGCGGUUGAAACGAGCGCGAUUAUAAUAUUACUACACCUUAUCCAUACUAUUCUAUUAAUAUAUUAUUAUUAUUAUUAUUGUUAUACUAUUAUUGAAUUACUUUUUGGUUUUCAUCGGGAAUGCACACUCAGCAAACUUCAAAACAAAUACAAUUGUAAAUUUAACCUACAUUUUUUACGGAGUAGGAGCUAACACAUCUCAUUUUUGUAUUCGUGUAGGAACUAAUAUAUGUAUUUGUUUUAUCUGAUAGGUCUCGUGUACGUACUUACCUGUUUAUCCCCAUUAUAAUAAUCGUGUAGGUUUAUUUUUAUCCGUUCUUUGAUAAUCGUUGGUUCGUAAAAACACGUACACCUACCUAUCGGCAAUUAUUAAACUUCUACGACUGCUCAUUCGGAAAAUGAAAAGCGCACAUUUUAAUCGCCACCACCUGUAGUUUAGGAAACGAUUUAUUUAUCGAAAUUCCAAAAACAUUUGAAACAAAAUAUUCGCUAAGUAUUUGGUCCGCAGAAAAAAUUAGUGUGUAAUAAUAAUAUAUUAUUUAGCAGGGCAAUUAUAAUUUAAACGUUUUCUAGUAACAAAUAGUUUUCGGAUCCUAAGAAUUAUUUUUUUUUUUUUUAUUGAUUGUAAUAUUUGUUUUAUUCGUACAGUCGUAACGAUAAUUAUCAUUCGAAUCUGGAGGGGGAGGGGGUAACGAAAUUCAGCAUUUAAAAACCUAAUAAUAUUUUAUACGAGUUAAUAAUCUCCUAUUCGAUAUUUGUCCGUAAUAAAUAAAUGUUUUUUUUUUCAUGUGUGCUCAAUUGUAUUACAUCAUUUUCAAUAAUUAAAUUAAUUAUUUAAAAAAAAAAAAAAAAUAUUCUCAAAUAAAAGUACGUUAAAUCAUGUACACAUGUGCUUAUCGAAAAACCGAAUACAUUAACAUGUUCGACGCGUACGAAUUCUGGAUAGUACAAUAAUAUUGUGCAUUUUAUAAAAUCCUAUAAUUUAGUGACAAUUAACAUGGAAAUAAAUUGUACUAUUUAAUAACAAAUAAUGUUAUUGUAAUAAUUAAAAACUAAAAGUACAGUUGAUAUUAUAUUUUAUAGGUAUACCGCAUCAUAGGCAAUGGAAAAGUGGAUCUGGUCGAUCUGGAGGAAACGAGCAAAACACAAUUGGUUGAAAAAAAUCAAACGAAAAU